Molecule: long non-coding RNA, 212 nt
Filed under: Lathyrus oleraceus (garden pea)
Lineage: Eukaryota; Viridiplantae; Streptophyta; Magnoliopsida; Fabales; Fabaceae
Description: Pisum sativum (pea) long non-coding RNA (PSAT_LNC034779)
Source: RNAcentral
AGACUCAAGUUGGGCAACUUGCCAAGCAACUCGCGGAACAACAAACCGGUCCUUCCUUUUCGGCAAACACGCAAACAAAUCCUAAGGAGCAUUGUAAGGCGAUCAUGACGAGAAGUGGGAGGGAGUUGGGUAGUGAGAAUGAAAAAAGAGUUGAGAGUGAACAAAGAGAGAAAGAGAAAGAAAUUGAGGAGGAAAUAUUGGAGGAAAAUGUU